RNAcentral lists this ribosomal RNA (876 nucleotides) under bacterium BAMkar1. RNAcentral describes it as "bacterial SSU rRNA". It matches the Rfam family "Bacterial small subunit ribosomal RNA", at positions 94 to 966 of the family's 1533-position model. RNAcentral also lists the same sequence under 2 other names. The record is from RNAcentral.
AGCGGCGGACGGGUGAGUAACACGUGGGCAACCUGCCUAUACAGACUGGGAUACUUCGGGAAACCGGAGCUAAUACCGGAUACGUUCUUUUCUCGCAUGAGAGAAGAUGGAAAGACGGUUUCGGCUGUCACUUAUAGAUGGGCCCGCGGCGCAUUAGCUAGUUGGGGUAACGGCUCACCAAGGCGACGAUGCGUACCCGACCUCAGAGGGUCGGCCACACUGGGACUCAGACACGGCCCAGACUCCUACGGGAGGCAGCAGUGGGGAAUCUUCCGCAAUGGACGAAAGUCUGACGGAGCAACGCCGCGUGAACGAAGAAGGCCUUCGGGUCGUAAAGUUCUGUUGUGGAAGAACAAGUACCAGAGUAACUGCUGGUACCUUGACGGUACCUACCCAGAAAGCCACGGCUACCUACGUGCCAGCAGCCGCGGUAAUACGUACGUGUGCAAGCGUUUACCGGGAAUUAUUGGGCGUAAAGCGCGCGCAGGUGGUUUCUUAAGUCUGAAUGUGAAAUGCCCACGGCUCAACCGUGGAGGGUUACAUAAACUGGGAGACUGUGCAGAAGAGGAAAGUGGAAUUACCAUGUGUAGCGGUGAAAUGCGUAGAGAUAUGGAGGAACACCAGUGGCGAAGGCGACUUUCUGGUCUGUACCCACUGCGGCGCGAAAGCGUGGGGAGCAAACAGGAUUGGAUACCCUGGUACUCCACGCCGUACACGAUGCGUGCUAAGUAUGGUUACAGGGUUUCCGCCCUUUGCUGCCGAAGUUACCGCAUUAAGCACUCCGCCUGGGGAGUACGGCCGCAAGGCUCAAACUCAAAGGAAUCGGGGGCCCGCACAAGCGGUGGAGCAUGUGGUUUAAUUCGAAGCAACGCGAAG